This 497-nucleotide ribosomal RNA is filed under the name uncultured bacterium. Its description in RNAcentral is "partial 16S ribosomal RNA". It matches the Rfam family "Bacterial small subunit ribosomal RNA", at positions 28 to 507 of the family's 1533-position model. The record is from RNAcentral.
GAUGAACGCUGGCGGCGUGCCUAAUACAUGCAAGUCGAGCGAACGGACGAGAAGCUUGCUUCUCUGAUGUUAGCGGCGGACGGGUGAGUAACACGUGGAUAACCUACCUAUAAGACUGGGAUAACUUCGGGAAACCGGAGCUAAUACCGGAUAAUAUUUUGAACCGCAUGGUUCAAAAGUGAAAGACGGUCUUGCUGUCACUUAUAGAUGGAUCCGCGCUGCAUUAGCUAGUUGGUAAGGUAACGGCUUACCAAGGCAACGAUGCAUAGCCGACCUGAGAGGGUGAUCGGCCACACGGGAACUGAGACACGGUCCAGACUCCUACGGGAGGCAGCCGUAGGGAAUCUUCCGCAAUGGGCGAAAGCCUGACGGAGCAACGCCGCGUGAGUGAUGAAGGUCUUCGGAUCGUAAAACUCUGUUAUUAGGGAAGAACAUAUGUGUAAGUAACUGUGCACAUCUUGACGGUACCUAAUCAGAAAGCCACGGCUAACUACGUG